UCGGGGUUGGGAGUUCGAACCUCGAACUUCGAACCUCGAACUUCGAGAAUAGCGGCGGACGGGUGAGUAACACGUGGAUAACCUACCCAUUAGACCAGGAUAACACCGGGAAACUGGUGCUAAUACCGGAUAAGCUCUUUAGAGUAAAAGCCUUAAAGAGGAAAGGGGAAACUCACUAAUGGAUGGGUCCGCGUCCUAUUAGCUAGUUGGUAGGGUAACGGCCUACCAAGGCGACGAUGGGUAGCCGGCCUGAGAGGGUGACCGGCCACACUGGGACUGAGACACGGCCCAGACUCCUACGGGAGGCAGCAGUGGGGAAUAUUCCGCANUGGGGGAAACCCUGACGGAGCAAUGCCGCGUGAGUGAAGAAGGCCUUUGGGUCGUAAAACUCUGUCUUGAGGGACGAAAAAAAUGACGGUACCUCAAAAGAAAGCCCCGGCUAACUACGUGCCAGCAGCCGCGGUAAAACGUAGGGGGCGAGCGUUGUCCGGAAUUACUGGGCGUAAAGGGCGUGUAGGCGGCCUGUGUAGUCUGUGGUGAAAACCCGGGGCUUA
RNAcentral lists this ribosomal RNA (554 nucleotides) under Clostridia bacterium enrichment culture clone WIP10m2D. RNAcentral's name for it is "bacterial SSU rRNA". It matches the Rfam family "Bacterial small subunit ribosomal RNA", at positions 62 to 611 of the family's 1533-position model. Lineage: Bacteria; Bacillati; Bacillota; Clostridia. The record is from RNAcentral.